GCCCGUGCGGUGUGACGGUCGCAUCCCAGCCUGUGGAGCUGGUGGAGGGGGUUCGACUCCCCCCAUGGGCA
RNAcentral lists this transfer RNA (71 nucleotides) under Candidatus Iainarchaeum sp. RNAcentral describes it as "tRNA-His". It matches the Rfam family "tRNA". From Rfam's summary of the family: Transfer RNA (tRNA) molecules are approximately 80 nucleotides in length. Their secondary structure includes four short double-helical elements and three loops (D, anti-codon, and T loops). The record is from RNAcentral. Lineage: Archaea; Nanobdellati; Candidatus Iainarchaeota; Candidatus Iainarchaeia; Candidatus Iainarchaeales; Candidatus Iainarchaeaceae.